CAGCAGUAGCCGCGGGAAUACGAAGGGGGCUAGCGUUGUUCGGAUUUACUGGGCGUAAAGGGCGCGUAGGCGGACUGAUAAGUCAGGGGUGAAAUCCCAAGGCUCAACCUUGGAACUGCCUUUGAUACUGUUUGUCUUGAGUUCGAGAGAGGUAAGUGGAACCGCGAGUGUAGAGGUGAAAUUCGUAGAUAUUCGCAAGAACACCAGUGGCGAAGGCGGCUUACUGGCUCGAAACUGACGCUGAGGCGCGAAAGCGUGGGGAGCAAACAGGAUUAGAUACCCCGGUAGUCCCUGUCUCUUAUAC
This 304-nucleotide ribosomal RNA is filed under the name uncultured bacterium. Its description in RNAcentral is "partial 16S ribosomal RNA". It matches the Rfam family "Bacterial small subunit ribosomal RNA", at positions 506 to 807 of the family's 1533-position model. The record is from RNAcentral.